GGGCCUGUAGCUCAGUUGGUCAGAGCGCACGCCUGAUAAGCGUGAGGUCGGUGGUUCGAGUCCACCCAGGCCCA
Molecule: transfer RNA, 74 nt
Filed under: Lentibacillus salicampi
Lineage: Bacteria; Bacillati; Bacillota; Bacilli; Caryophanales; Bacillaceae
Also listed under: 6 other names
Rfam family: tRNA
About the family: Transfer RNA (tRNA) molecules are approximately 80 nucleotides in length. Their secondary structure includes four short double-helical elements and three loops (D, anti-codon, and T loops).
Source: Rfam by way of RNAcentral